This 90-nucleotide long non-coding RNA is filed under the name Phascolarctos cinereus (koala). RNAcentral describes it as "lncRNA (ENSPCIG00000034266.1)". The record is from RNAcentral. Lineage: Eukaryota; Metazoa; Chordata; Mammalia; Diprotodontia; Phascolarctidae.
CACCAGAUGGUGCUCCAGCUACCCGUGAAUGGCCUACUCUCCCUGCUCAUGCCUUCUCAUCCCUCUACUCUCUUUCGCCUCCGCCGGUAA